Molecule: ribosomal RNA, 914 nt
Filed under: uncultured archaeon
Lineage: Archaea
Description: bacterial SSU rRNA
Rfam family: Archaeal small subunit ribosomal RNA
Source: RNAcentral
UUCCGGUUGAUCCUGCCGGACCUGACUGCUAUCGGAUUGGUACUAAGCCAUGUGAGUCGUUGUAGCAAUACAAGGCAUACGGCUCAGUAACACGUAGUCAAUCUAACCUAUGGACGGGGAUAACCUCGGGAAACUGAGGAUAAACCCCGAUAGAUCAUUAUGCCUGGAACGGUUUAUGGUCCAAAUGAUUCGUCGCCGUAGGAUGGGACUGCGGCCUAUCAGCUUGUUGGUGAGGUGAUGGCCCACCAAGGCUAUUACAGGUACGGGCUCUGAGAGGAGUAGCCCGGAGAUGGGUACUGAGACACGGACCCAGGCCCUAUGGGGCGCAGCAGGCGAGAAAACUUUGCAAUGUGCGAAAGCACGACAAGGUUAAUCCGAGUGGUUUCUGCUAAAGGAACCUUUUGUCAGUCCUAGAAACACUGGUGAAUAAGGGGUGGGCAAGUUCUGGUGUCAGCCGCCGCGGUAAAACCAGCACCUCAAGUGGUCAGGAUGAUUAUUGGGCCUAAAGCAUCCGUAGCCUGCUUUGUUAGUUUUCGGUUAAAUCCAUACGCUUAACGUAUGGGCUGCCGGGAAUACUGCAAAGCUAGGGAGUGGGAGAGGUAGACGGUACUCGGUAGGAAGGGGUAAAAUCCUUUGAUCUAUUGAUGACCACCUGUGGCGAAGGCGGUCUACCAGAACACGUCCGACGGUGAGGGAUGAAAGCUGGGGGAGCAAACCGGAUUAGAUACCCGGGUAGUCCCAGCUGUAAACUAUGCAAACUCGGUGAUGCAUUGGCUUGAUGCCAAUGCAGUGCCGCAGGGAAGCCGUUAAGUUUGCCGCCUGGGAAGUACGUACGCAAGUAUGAAACUUAAAGGAAUUGGCGGGGGGAGCACACAAGGGGUGAAGCCUGCGGUUCAAUUGGAUUCACGCCGGGA